Molecule: ribosomal RNA, 1522 nt
Filed under: metagenome
Description: bacterial SSU rRNA
Rfam family: Bacterial small subunit ribosomal RNA
Source: RNAcentral
AGAGUUUGAUCAUGGCUCAGAUUGAACGCUGGCGGCAGGCCUAACCCAUGCAAGUCGAACGGUAACAGGAAGCAGCUUGCUGCUUCGCUGACGAGUGGCGGACGGGUGAGUAAUGUCUGGGAAGCUGCCUGAUGGAGGGGGAUAACUACUGGAAACGGUAGCUAAUACCGCAUAAUGUCGCAAGACCAAAGAGGGGGACCUUCGGGCCUCUUGCCAUCGGAUGUGCCCAGAUGGGAUUAGCUUGUUGGUGGGGUAACGGCUCACCAAGGCGACGAUCCCUAGCUGGUCUGAGAGGAUGACCAGCCACACUGGGACUGAGACACGGUCCAGACUCCUACGGGAGGCAGCAGUGGGGAAUAUUGCACAAUGGGCGCAAGCCUGAUGCAGCCAUGCCGCGUGUAUGAAGAAGGCCUUCGGGUUGUAAAGUACUUUCAGCGGGGAGGAAGGGAGUAAAGUUAAUACCUUUGCUCAUUGACGUUACCCGCAGAAGAAGCACCGGCUAACUCCGUGCCAGCAGCCGCGGUAAUACGGAGGGUGCAAGCGUUAAUCGGAAUUACUGGGCGUAAAGCGCACGCAGGCGGUUUGUUAAGUCAGAUGUGAAAUCCCCGGGCUCAACCUGGGAACUGCAUCUGAUACUGGCAAGCUUGAGUCUCGUAGAGGGGGGUAGAAUUCCAGGUGUAGCGGUGAAAUGCGUAGAGAUCUGGAGGAAUACCGGUGGCGAAGGCGGCCCCCUGGACGAAGACUGACGCUCAGGUGCGAAAGCGUGGGGAGCAAACAGGAUUAGAUACCCUGGUAGUCCACGCCGUAAACGAUGUCGACUUGGAGGUUGUGCCCUUGAGGCGUGGCUUCCGGAGCUAACGCGUUAAGUCGACCGCCUGGGGAGUACGGCCGCAAGGUUAAAACUCAAAUGAAUUGACGGGGGCCCGCACAAGCGGUGGAGCAUGUGGUUUAAUUCGAUGCAACGCGAAGAACCUUACCUGGUCUUGACAUCCACGGAAGUUUUCAGAGAUGAGAAUGUGCCUUCGGGAACCGUGAGACAGGUGCUGCAUGGCUGUCGUCAGCUCGUGUUGUGAAAUGUUGGGUUAAGUCCCGCAACGAGCGCAACCCUUAUCCUUUGUUGCCAGCGGUCCGGCCGGGAACUCAAAGGAGACUGCCAGUGAUAAACUGGAGGAAGGUGGGGAUGACGUCAAGUCAUCAUGGCCCUUACGACCAGGGCUACACACGUGCUACAAUGGCGCAUACAAAGAGAAGCGACCUCGCGAGAGCAAGCGGACCUCAUAAAGUGCGUCGUAGUCCGGAUUGGAGUCUGCAACUCGACUCCAUGAAGUCGGAAUCGCUAGUAAUCGUGGAUCAGAAUGCCACGGUGAAUACGUUCCCGGGCCUUGUACACACCGCCCGUCACACCAUGGGAGUGGGUUGCAAAAGAAGUAGGUAGCUUAACCUUCGGGAGGGCGCUUACCACUUUGUGAUUCAUGACUGGGGUGAAGUCGGAACAAGGUAACCGUAGGGGAACCUGCGGUUG